UACGAAGGGGGCUAGCGUUGUUCGGAAUUACUGGGCGUAAAGGGCUCGUAGGCGGCCAACUAAGUCGGAUGUGAAAUCCCCAGGCUUAACCUGGGAACUGCAUCCGAUACUGGAUGGCUUGAAUCCGGGAGAGGGAUGCGGAAUUCCAGGUGUAGCGGUGAAAUGCGUAGAUAUCGGGAGGAACACCGGUGGCGAAGGCGGCCUUCUGGACGGAUACUGACGCUGAUACGCGAAAGCGUGGGGAGCAAACAGG
RNAcentral lists this ribosomal RNA (253 nucleotides) under uncultured bacterium. Its description in RNAcentral is "partial 16S ribosomal RNA". It matches the Rfam family "Bacterial small subunit ribosomal RNA", at positions 524 to 776 of the family's 1533-position model. The record is from RNAcentral.